Molecule: long non-coding RNA, 225 nt
Filed under: Vitis vinifera (wine grape)
Lineage: Eukaryota; Viridiplantae; Streptophyta; Magnoliopsida; Vitales; Vitaceae
Description: long non-coding RNA (VVIN_LNC001857)
Source: RNAcentral
GAAAUUGUUUUAUUAAAUAAAAGUUUAAUCACUUCACUUCAGUGACAUACUUUUGUUUCCAAUGUUACAUGAUAAGUAUAAGGUUGAAUUUGUAGAUUUUUUGGGCCAUCUCUGGCCCACUUUGCCAGAGAGUGGUGAAACUUCUUGGGCCUCAAGAAGCAGUUCACGACCCAGUCCUGUUGUAAAACAGCCUCCAAAAAGCUGCACUAACCCAGCCCCAACCAG